UACAGAGGGUGCGAGCGUUAAUCGGAAUUACUGGGCGUAAAGCGCGCGUAGGCGGCUUCGCAAGUCGGGUGUGAAAUCCCCAAGCUCAACUUGGGAACUGCAUUCGAGACUGCGUUGCUAGAGUAUGGGAGAGGGAAGUGGAAUUUCAGGUGUAGCGGUGAAAUGCGUAGAUAUCUGAAGGAACAUCAGUGGCGAAAGCGACUUCCUGGACCAAUACUGACGCUCAUGUGCGAAAGCGUGGGGAGCAAACCGG
This 253-nucleotide ribosomal RNA is filed under the name uncultured bacterium. RNAcentral describes it as "partial 16S ribosomal RNA". It matches the Rfam family "Bacterial small subunit ribosomal RNA", at positions 524 to 776 of the family's 1533-position model. The record is from RNAcentral.